CCCCGUAACUUCGGGAGAAGGGGUGCUGGCCGUUAGGCCAGCCGCAGUGAAUAGGCCCAAGCGACUGUUUAUCAAAAACAUAGGUCUCUGCCAAAUCGAAAGAUGACGUAUAGAGGCUGACGCCUGCCCGGUGCUGGAAGGUUAAGAGGAAGGGUUAGCGUAUGCGAAGCUCUGAAUUGAAGCCCCAGUAAACGGCGGCCGUAACUAUAACGGUCCUAAGGUAGCGAAAUUCCUUGUCAGGUAAGUUCUGACCCGCACGAAAGGCGCAACGAUUUGGGCACUGUCUCAACGAGAGACUCGGUGAAAUUGUAGUACCAGUGAAGAUGCUGGUUACCCGCGACAGGACGGAAAGACCCCAUGGAGCUUCACUGCAGGUUGAUAUUGAGUGUUUGUGUGACAUGUACAGGAUAGGUAGGAGCCAUUGAAACCGGGACGCUAGUCUCGGUGGAGGCACAAGUGGGAUACUACCCUUGUGACAUGACCACUCUAACCCGCGAC
This 498-nucleotide ribosomal RNA is filed under the name Aerococcus sp. HMSC072A12. Its description in RNAcentral is "bacterial LSU rRNA". It matches the Rfam family "Bacterial large subunit ribosomal RNA", at positions 1726 to 2233 of the family's 2925-position model. Lineage: Bacteria; Bacillati; Bacillota; Bacilli; Lactobacillales; Aerococcaceae. The record is from RNAcentral.